UAUAAGGCUUUUGUAAAAGCCAUCAAAGAGAGUAUUCAAAUUCCAA
Candidatus Thiomargarita nelsonii is the source of this 46-nucleotide non-coding RNA. Lineage: Bacteria; Pseudomonadati; Pseudomonadota; Gammaproteobacteria; Thiotrichales; Thiotrichaceae. The record is from Rfam.